AGUGUCCAUUAUUUCCUCAGGGAGCAAGCUGUUUACUUCUGCCGAAACCACCUCCAUUUCAGCAGUUGUGGCAGUGAUGACUGUAGCAGAAAUCUCAUGCAAGCAAACAGCUGUCUGGCAAUGGGCUCUGUUAGCCCCAGAAGCUCUAUCAGCAGCCUACCUUGGGACCAAGGAAAACUGCCCUUCCACCACAAGGUUCAAGAAGAUUGACCAGGCCUGUCUGAAGGUGUUAGUAAUGCUACUUAUAAACCAAUUUCAGAAAUGUCAUUUCACCAGUAGAGAAGGAGACUGAAUGAGAAACACCUCCUGUAUCCACACCCAACACGAAGUACAAAAACAAAAAUGCAAAACAAAGAAAAUCCAAAUCCAAAAGCUUCAUAAAUACAUCAAGUACAACAGAGCCCCUGAAGAACUGAGAUUGCCUUGCGAUGAACAGAAGCACUGCCAGGUGCAUGUAGGACACAAAAAGAAAGCAUCUUGCAAUUCUAUGACCUUGGAACAGUUACUAAGUUCUCCAUACUGCGGUCAUUGACAUAAAUGCUACAAAAGAGCAAGGACAGUUGGAGCACAGUUAACCAAAAAGCACCCAGAGGAAUAGAAAUUGUUCUGUCGUGGACGCAGUUUAAAAAAAUAAACAUAUUUUACUGAAGUUUAGCAGAAAUCGUGUUCCAUUUGCCUUGAAACAGGUAUGUUUUAUCAACAUAAAGAUAUGAAAAACCAAUGCCUUAACCAUGAAGUCUUCAACCGAUCAUACUCAAAGCCUAGGAAGUGAUGCGUGCAGCAUGACCACACGGCCAUUCUUCACCACAAUCCCUCUGAUACAAACAUGCUGCAAGACUCAACAAUCCCAUGACCCGCCACUGUUUUCUUCACAGCAAAAUGAAUUCUCACACGCAAGGAAUCACAGCGUGCUACCACAGAAAUUAGAUUAUACACACAGAGUACAAAAGCAGUUCUCACAAUAGAAGUAAAAGUCCUUAAAUAUAGUACAUGACCAAAAAUCCCCAUGAGUCAGAAAACCUUUCAUGCGAAACAGAAGCUCGAAGGAAAGAGGGGAAAAACACAAGUUUUUCAUGACAGCAGUACAUCAUACAAGUCAUCAAUGCUUGAACUACAUUACACAUAUAUGCGAGUGACCUGCUAUCUAGAAAACAGUCCUUUUAAAACAGAUCUAAUCUGGAUUGGACAAUCCCCUUUUCACCACAAGAACCAUUGGUACACUGCCCAAGUGUAUCAUUAAGUAUGAAACAAGAUUAGCAAGAAAGAUGUUUCUCCUACUCUUGAUUACAAAAGCGUACUGAAAAGCAUUACAAAUAAUAUAAAAGAAAAAAACCAAAACCAACAAAAACCAAAAACCAUCCCAGGCACUUUCCCAGAAUGACUCCUAUCUAGAAAACUAAACCACUUUAAGGUCAAGUUACUUUUCUAUGCAUAGCUCACAGCUGUUACCCAGCUUUCACAUGCUAACUAAAUGUUCAUCAAGAAGGUAGCAAAACCAUGUCAUAUUAGUAACGUUAGUCUGCACUUCAUGGCGUAUCUACAUUUCAAAUUGCACAUAUCUGUAGUUUUUCAAGUAGUCAACACUUUCUGUGUUUGCUAGUUGUAGCUUGUAGCAAGUGGAAAACUUGCACUCAUGCCUGCUUCUGAAGAUUAACCAUGAUCAGCUGAUGGUAAAUCUGCUCCUCGAGGGCAACUUAGUGCCCUUUGAGGGUCUAUUCCUUGUUGGUGCCAAGAAAACUCUGGCUUAUGCUUAACAGCAAAACUACUACUGUCUUGGGAACACUGCCUGUCAAUCUAACAGCACUCCUUUCUGCAUGUACAUUGAUACACGCAUAUUUGAGAAGUGACUGGCACGUCCAAGUGAAGUAGGCAGAAAAAAAAUUAAAUAAUUAGGAUAUCAAUUUAUGCUCCGAUUACUAACAAAUAAAAGUUUGCAUGAAGGAGACUCCAUACCCACCUCCACAUUCUCCUCUUCUCUUAGGAAGGAGUGGUGUAGCGAUGAGGCUUAGCACUGCAUGCUCAGUGCACACCCUCCUAUUGCAACCUUCCAGGAAAGACCUGGAUAUAUAGAAUAUUCAUUGCAGCAGAACACUAAGUGUCCCCAUUUGCCUUCUGUAACUGGAAACAACAAUCUGCUACCAAGUAGACCUUCAGUGCAAACUAAAAGAUAGAAACUAAAAAAAGAUCAGAAUAUUUCCCUUCUCCCUCCUUUGGCUUGCACUGCCAAUUGCCCUCAUUUUCAUGGUAAUACAACAGCACAAACUUUAAAAAAAAAAAGUCCCAUGUUCUUAUGAUCUCACGUGAUCAUUAAAUACAUUUUGCAGGUGUUCAUUACCACAAAUAAUCCAAGUUUUGUGUCUGUAGAUUUUGUACAUUUAAGGAAGCAUUUCAUAAUAACCUCAGGCUCUAUGCAAACUUUGUGGUGAGACCGAAAGAAAUACCCAUACAAUAACAUCGACAUAAAAUUUCUGGAGCACUGAGGAAGCUAAAAGUAAUGCAUUAGGAAUCUGAUAUCAAAAUGAGUAUGGAUGUAGGAAACUUAGCUCAACUGAAAAGCUAACAGAAAGGUAAAAGCUAUAGGCCCAAGAAACACAGAUUUGAGAAAAAGUGCUUCUUUCCAGUCUUCUAAACAUAGCUUGAAAUAAAGGUUUUGCUUUCCAAGCUGAGGAUGCCUCCUGAAUGCCAGCCGACAGAAGAAGUCAGACCACAUGGCGCUAUCGCCCCAAACACACACUGGAAAACAAGCAGCACAGAAGCUGCCAUCGCAGGCUUGAUAUCCAGCUCCCCACAGACUGCUAACAGGUGUUAUCAUACCAGGCACCUUUUAAGGUUAGGCUCACUGCCAACAAUUUCUGCAAGAGUGUAUUUUAGUCUUGUAUUUACGUGCAAAGGUUCAUCGUAAUGGAGCCAUAAACCAUCCACUUUACUGAGGCUUGGCAAAACCAGAAGCACAAUGGUUACGCAGCGCGUUACAUGCAUACUUCAGCACCACGGCCCCACCAGGAUGCAAAAUACAUCACCCAGCUUACUCUAACUGAAACAAAAACACGUGCGAUGCUGAUUUCAGCAUGGUAAUUCACUUCCAAAAAUACACUACAACGUGGCACAGGAAAGCGUUUUUUAUUAGCGACUCACAGAAUUACAGAAUCUCAGGGGUUACGUGUCUUAAGUAACUACUUUUAAUCUCUAAUUUCUUUUAACUUUUACAAGUAGAUAGAAAUCUGAGAUCAACCUGUAAUGCUUUCAAGAGAGUGCUGUCAGGAUUCAGAGAGUAGUGAAAGUUGUAAUAGCCUCUACUGCUUAUCUUAUCAGUGUGAGUUAGCUUUCUUCAGUUUUGAGUACAACUGAGCAAUAGAAGAAAGGCAACAACAUCUCUAUGAAGAGUCAGGUUGCAAUAAUUUGCCAGAAUCCUGCAUAUCUAGCUGCAGAUCUCAGCGGCUCUACCGGCCUUAAACACAACAAUGCUUCCCAAGUGCAGAAGUCUAUCUACUUGCAGAAGGACCGAGCUGAAGAUAAACAGCUUGCCUGCAGGCAAAUCAUGAUUUGGCUUUGAUGCCAAAAACAUAAUUACUCCUCCCUUACACUUAAAUCUCUAGAUAGAAGACUUUCAUACUGCUUUUGAAAGAAAGUGAUUCGAAUAACCACAUUGCACAGCAUCUGGCUUGCUUUUGUGGAAUCAAUUCCACGUGAAGAUUUUGAGACAAGAUAUCAAUACAAUAGGAGAAAUGGGAAUUUCAGUGAAAUCUUGGUUUCUGCGCCGCAAGUAUAUGGGCCACUUCAAAUUCAAGCUUCUCAGAUGUCUGAAGAUGGUAACGCAAAUGGCUGAAGAACUGAAGAA
This is a long non-coding RNA of Numida meleagris (helmeted guineafowl), 3838 nucleotides long. RefSeq lists it as uncharacterized. The record is from RefSeq and is a predicted model, not a curated record. The transcript has 4 exons. Lineage: Eukaryota; Metazoa; Chordata; Aves; Galliformes; Numididae.